GACGAACGCUGGCGGCGUGCUUAACACAUGCAAGUCGAGCGGUAAGGCCCUUUCGGGGGUACACGAGCGGCGAACGGGUGAGUAACACGUGGGUGACCUGCCCUCAGCUCUGGGAUAAGCCUGGGAAACCGGGUCUAAUACUGGAUAUGACUCCAUGACGCAUGUUGUGGGGUGGAAAGCCUUGUGCGGCUGAGGAUGGGCCCGCGGCCUAUCAGCUUGUUGGUGGGGUGANGGCCUACCAAGGCGACGACGGGUAGCCGGCCUGAGAGGGCGACCGG
Molecule: ribosomal RNA, 278 nt
Filed under: uncultured bacterium
Lineage: Bacteria
Description: partial 16S ribosomal RNA
Rfam family: Bacterial small subunit ribosomal RNA
Source: RNAcentral